CUAAGGCGAGGCCGAAAGGCGUAGUCGAUGGGAAACAGGUUAAUAUUCCUGUACUCGGUGUUACUGCGAAGGGGGGACGGAGAAGGCUAGGCUAUCCGGGCGACGGUUGUCCCGGUUUAAGCGUGUAGGGGGAAAGCGUUGGUAAAUCCGCGCUUUUAUUAACCCUGAGGCGUGAUGACGAGUCACUACGGUGAUGAAGUAGUUGAUGCCAAGCUUCCAGGAAAAGCCUCUAAGCUCUAGGUAACAUUGAAUCGUACCCCAAACCGACACAGGUGGUCAGGUAGAGAAUACCAAGGCGCUUGAGAGAACUCGGGUGAAGGAACUAGGCAAAAUGGUGCCGUAACUUCGGGAGAAGGCACGCUGGCGCGUAGGUGAAGUCCCUUGCGGAUGGAGCUGAAGCCAGUCGAAGAUACCAGCUGGCUGCAACUGUUUAAUAAAAACACAGCACUGUGCAAACACGAAAGUGGACGUAUACGGUGUGACGCCUGCCCGGUGCUGGAAGGUUAAUUGAUGGGGUCAGCCGCAAGGCGAAGCUCUUGAUCGAAGCCCCAGUAAACGGCGGCCGUAACUAUAACGGUCCUAAGGUAGCGAAAUUCCUUGUCGGGUAAGUUCCGACCUGCACGAAUGGCGUAAUGAUGGCCAGGCUGUCUCCACCCGAGACUCAGUGAAAUUGAACUCGCUGUGAAGAUGCAGUGUACCCGCGGCAAGACGGAAAGACCCCGUGAACCUUUACUAUAGCUUGACACUGAACAUUGAGCCUUGAUGUGUAGGAUAGGUGGGAGGCUUUGAAGCGUGGACGCCAGUCUGCGUGGAGCCAACCUUGAAAUACCACCCUUUAAUGUUUGAUGUUCUAACUCCGGUCCCUAAUCGGGAUUGAGGACAGUGUCUGGUGGGUAGUUUGACUGGGGCGGUCUCCUCCUAAAGAGUAACGGAGGAGCACGAAGGUUAGCUAAUCACGGUCGGACAUCGUGAGGUUAGUGCAAUGGCAUAAGCUAGCUUGACUGCGAGAGUGACGGCUCGAGCAGGUACGAAAGUAGGUCAUAGUGAUCCGGUGGUUCUGAAUGGAAGGGCCAUCGCUCAACGGAUAAAA
Molecule: ribosomal RNA, 1090 nt
Filed under: human gut metagenome
Description: bacterial LSU rRNA
Rfam family: Bacterial large subunit ribosomal RNA
Source: RNAcentral